Molecule: ribosomal RNA, 460 nt
Filed under: uncultured bacterium
Lineage: Bacteria
Description: partial 16S ribosomal RNA
Rfam family: Bacterial small subunit ribosomal RNA
Source: RNAcentral
CCUACGGGUGGCAGCAGUGAGGAAUAUUGGUCAAUGGACGCUAGUCUGAACCAGCCAAGCAGCGUGCAGGAUGACUGCUCUAUGGGUUGUAAACUUCUUUUAUAUGAGGAUAAACAGCACUACGUAUAGUGGCUUGCAAGUAUAUUACGAAUAAGGAUCGGCUAACUCCGUGCCAGCAGCCGCGGUAAUACGGAGGAUCCAAGCGUUAUCCGGAUUUAUUGGGUUUAAAGGGUGCGUAGGCGGUUUGAUAAGUCAGAGGUGAAAUACUGGUGCUCAACACUGGAACUGCAGCUAAUACUGUUGACCUAGAGAGUAGUGGCGGUAGGCGGAAUGUAUGGUGUAGCGGUGAAAUGCUUAGAGAUCAUACAGAACUCCGAUUGCGAAGGCAGCCUACCAAACUAUAUCUGACGCUGAGGCACGAAAGUGUGGGUAGCAAACAGGAUUAGAUACCCCAGUAGUC